UAACAAUGUUUUGGGUGAAGUU
Molecule: non-coding RNA, 22 nt
Filed under: Arabidopsis thaliana (thale cress)
Lineage: Eukaryota; Viridiplantae; Streptophyta; Magnoliopsida; Brassicales; Brassicaceae
Source: RNAcentral